AUGAGACAUGCAUCUGAUAUUUCUAAAUCACAACAGGAGACAAAGAAGCGAAAGAAAGGCAGAAGCACUCAAUCUGUUGUUAUCAAGUACAUAAACAACCACAAGUACUUCCUCUCGACAAAGGAGAUCAACUGUGGCAAGACGGCUGGGAAAAAUAUUCUGGUAAGUAUAAUAACAUUUGAAUUUACUGUUAUAAGUGAUAAUGUAUGUAUUUAUUUUAUGUAA
Molecule: non-coding RNA, 225 nt
Organism: Vicia faba (fava bean)
Lineage: Eukaryota; Viridiplantae; Streptophyta; Magnoliopsida; Fabales; Fabaceae
Source: the annotation of a GenBank genome assembly